Non-coding RNA from Pelobates cultripes (western spadefoot toad), 203 nucleotides. The record is from the annotation of a GenBank genome assembly. NCBI's taxonomy places the organism in Eukaryota, Metazoa, Chordata, Amphibia, Anura, Pelobatidae.
CUAGACUGGCACUACAGCAUUUUAUGUUUUAACUUAAAGCUAUCUUUCGGUUAUAGCUUGCUUUGUGUCCCAUACAUAUGUGGUGGCAAUUUUACCAACCAUCUUGGAAUUAUUUUUAUGUAAAUGCUUUGGGUGAAUUUAGUAUUAAAAAUGUGAGAUUAGGGAUGUCAUACACAUAUGAUAUCAUAGCAACUACAAUGAGC